UAACACAUGCAAGUUGAGCGGAGGUAGAUGGAGCUUGCUCUAUGUACCUUAGCAGCGAACGGGUGAGUAACACGUAGAUAAUCUGUCCUAUAUUGGGGGAUAGCCCGAUGAAAGUUGGAUUAAUACCGCAUACAGCUAUAUAGUUGCAUGAUUAUAUAGUGAAAGAUUUAUUGAUAUAGGAGGAGUCUGCGGCACAUUAGCUAGUAGGUGAGGUAAGAGCUUACCUAGGCGACGAUGUGUAGCCGGUCUGAGAGGAUGAACGGCCACAAUGGAACUGAGACACGGUCCAUACUCCUACGGGAGGCAGCAGUGGGGAAUAUUGCACAAUGGGGGAAACCCUGAUGCAGCAACGCCGCGUGAGUGAAGAAGGUUUUCGGAUUGUAAAGCUCUGUUAGCAGGGAAGAGGAAGGACGGUACCUGCAGAGGAAGCCACGGCUAACUACGUGCCAGCAGCCGCGGUAAUACGUAGGUGGCAAGCGUUGUUCGGAAUAACUGGGCGUAAAGGAUGCGUAGGCGGUUAAAUAAGUUAUAUGUUAAAUAUAUAGGCUUAACCUGUAGAAAGCAUAUAAAACUGUUUAACUAGAGUGCAGGAGAGGUAAGUGGAAUUCCUAGUGUAGCGGUGAAAUGCGUAGAGAUUAGGAAGAACACCAGUGGCGAAGGCGACUUACUGGACUGUAACUGACGCUGAGGCAUGAA
This 696-nucleotide ribosomal RNA is filed under the name uncultured bacterium. Its description in RNAcentral is "bacterial SSU rRNA". It matches the Rfam family "Bacterial small subunit ribosomal RNA", at positions 49 to 757 of the family's 1533-position model. The record is from RNAcentral.